GGGGGGGGGGGGGGGGGGGGCUGGGGGGGGCGGGGCGGGCGGGCGGGCGGGGAGCUUGCUCCUCUGACGUUAGCGGCGGGCGGGUGAGUGACACGUGGAUAACCUACCUAUAAGACUGGGAUAACUUCGGGACACCGGAGCUAAUACCGGAUGAUAUAUUGAACCGCAUGGUUCCAUAGUUAAAGACGGUUUUGCUGUCACUUAUAGAUGGAUCCGCGCCGCCUUAGCUAGUUGGUAAGGUAACGGCUUACCAAGGCAACGAUGCGUAGCCGACCUGAGAGGGUGAUCGGCCACACUGGAACUGAGACACGGUCCAGACUCCUACGGGAGGCAGCAGUAGGGAAUCUUCCGCAAUGGGCGAAAGCCUGACGGAGCAACGCCGCGUGAGUGAUGAAGGUCUUCGGAUCGUAAAACUCUGUUAUUAGGGAAGAACAAAUGUGUAAGUAACUAUGCACGUCUUGACGGUACCUAAUCAGAAAGCCACGGCUAACUACGUG
RNAcentral lists this ribosomal RNA (497 nucleotides) under uncultured bacterium. RNAcentral describes it as "partial 16S ribosomal RNA". It matches the Rfam family "Bacterial small subunit ribosomal RNA", at positions 35 to 507 of the family's 1533-position model. The record is from RNAcentral.